This 567-nucleotide ribosomal RNA is filed under the name uncultured archaeon. RNAcentral's name for it is "bacterial SSU rRNA". It matches the Rfam family "Archaeal small subunit ribosomal RNA", at positions 326 to 900 of the family's 1478-position model. The record is from RNAcentral.
CGGGGUGCAGCAGGCGCGAAAACUCUACAAUGCAGGCAACUGCGAUAGGGGGACAUCGAGUGGCAUCCACCUUGGGUGCCUGUCCAACCGUCUAAAAAACGGUUGUUAGCAAGGGCCGGGUAAGACCGGUGCCAGCCGCCGCGGUAAUACCGGCGGCUCGAGUGGUGGCCGAUAUUAUUGAGUCUAAAGGGUCCGUAGCCGGCUUUGCAAGUCCCCUGGGAAAUCCAGCGGCUUAACCGUUGGGCUUUCAUGGGAUACUACAUUGCUUGGGACUGGGAGAGGUAGGAGGUACUCGGGGGUAGGGGUGAAAUCCUGUAAUCCUCCGGGGACCACCGGUGGCGAAGGCGUCCUACCAGAACAGGUCCGACGGUGAGGGACGAAAGCUAGGGGCACGAACCGGAUUAGAUACCCGGGUAGUCCUAGCCGUAAACGAUGCCCGCUAGGUGUCACGACGGUCGUGAAUCGUCGUGGUGCCGUAGGGAAGCCGCGAAGCGGGCCACUUGGGAAGUACGGCCGCAAGGCUGAAACUUAAAGGAAUUGGCGGGGGAGCACAAGGGCGAUUCGCGG